AGUCGUAACAAGGUAUCCGUAGGUGAACCUGCGGAUGGAUCAUUUCCACUAUUAAAACAAAAAAAGAGAAGGGAGAUUUUGUCAAAGUGCGAAUGAAAGUUUGCACUAGAUAAUUUCAAAUUCUCUUUUUUUAAUAAUUAACAAACCUUUUAACGUGAAUUGUUAUUGUACAAAACAUUUUUAUAAACGUAAGUUUUAAGUUUUGAUAACAUUCAAAAUAAGAAACAAACGUUAAACAAAUUAGAAUUGGUUUUUAUUUUAAAACAAAAAGUAACCAAAAACAACUCUUAACAACGGAUGUCUUGGUUCUC
This 311-nucleotide unclassified non-coding RNA is filed under the name fungal sp. RNAcentral describes it as "partial internal transcribed spacer region". The stretch from base 1 to 45 matches the Rfam family "Eukaryotic small subunit ribosomal RNA", at positions 1787 to 1831 of the family's 1831-position model. Lineage: Eukaryota; Fungi. The record is from RNAcentral.